This is a long non-coding RNA of Hypanus sabinus (Atlantic stingray), 1705 nucleotides long. RefSeq lists it as uncharacterized. The record is from RefSeq and is a predicted model, not a curated record. The transcript has 3 exons. NCBI's taxonomy places the organism in Eukaryota, Metazoa, Chordata, Chondrichthyes, Myliobatiformes, Dasyatidae.
CCGAACGGGAGUGCGCGCUGAUGUCCCGGCUCUGACUUCAACUGGCACGGCUCCAAUUACCACUUGGACAGACUUUGCACCGUCAUGAAUUUAUACUUACGUAAAGUUAUACUUACCGAUCAACAAGUAUUUAAAUCAGCAUUUGCCUCGAAGGACCAUGCACAGCAGCCAUGAAAUCAAGAAAGAAAAGAACAGGCACAUUGACCCCCAAAUCCCUCCUACCAGAAGAAAGAAUAUACAUUUGCUCAGUCAUAUGGCCCACCAUGUUCAUGCAGACCACCAAGUCGCUAGCCAUACCAACCCCAUCGACAAGCACUCAGUACGUCGCCUUGAACCUGGAUUGCAACCAACCGCUGAAUGAAAAGAUACUUCCAUAGAUCCUUUCUAAAGUAUUCCCACAUACUCUAAACAUAUAACAGGACAGCACAGUAUCAUAGGAGUUACUGUAAUUCUUUACAGUGCCAGAAAUUGACUGGGGUUCAACUUCCACCACUGUCUGUAAAGGAUUUGACCAUGUGGGUCCUCCUGAUGCUCGAACUUUCUCCCACAUUCCAAAGAUGCACGAGUUGGGGUUAGUAAUGUUAUGGUCUGGUCUGGAGCCUGCAUUCCGGGUCUUGAUCUGGUCCGCAGACUCCGGACUCCGGGUCUUGUAGCCAUCCCUCCUUUCACCCUUAAGCCCAAGUAGGAUCAUCUUGGCUUAAGGAGGUGUCUGGUUUGCCUUAUUUGAGCCAUUUGCCUGGCUGUCCUGUUUUGACCCUGGCUUGGAGUACCCACAGUUAAUCAUCUAGUCUGUAAGUCUGUUCUUAUAGUCACCCUGGACUGAGCUCCCUUCUGAUCCCUUGCCUCUGUUGGGUAAGUAGGCUGGACUGCUGUUGCCUGGUGGGGGGACUGUGACCCUUUCCUACCCCUCUCUUCUGACAGGUGGUGCCCUGCAACCAGCCCAGGUGCUCUGUGUUCCUGCCUGGGAGGCAACCCUGCCCAGGAGCUAUGUGGCCUUCCCUGAGGCCUCUGACCCUUUCCUACCCUUUGCUUCUGAUGGGUGGUGCCCUGCAUCCUGCCCACGUGCUUUGUGUCUUGCCCAGGCCCCUGUGUUCCUGCCUGGGAGUCCGGGCCCUGCUCAGAAGCUAUGUGGCCUGCCUGGGGGCUAUCCUCCCAACAUUCCUUGUCCCAUAGAUCUAGCCUUUGCCAUGAACUCCAGGGUCUGGCCUUUGCCAGGAACUCUCUGAACUCCAGGAUCACGGUUGCAUGCCACAGUCUCCCCACCUUGUUCUAUCCUUUAGUUGUUCCUGUCCUGCCCCUAGUACUUCAGUGCCUGUGUCCUGCAUUUGGGUCCAGUCUCCAUGUCCUCCUUGUGACAAGUAAGUUGUGGGCAUGUUAUGUUGGUGGUGAAGCAUAGCCGCAUUUGAGGACUGUGUUGGUCGUUGACACAAAUAAUGAAUUUCACUGUAUAUUUCAUUGUUUCAACAUACACAUGACAAGUAAAGCUAAUAUAAUCUAAGUAUGCCCUCCAAUUUUAGAAAUUUCUAUUAUGGGAAAAAGUUUCUGUGGUGAACUACAUAUACCUGUCUGGUCGCCCCCCCCGCUGACUGCUCCUGUGGCUCCUCCCACAGACCCCGGUAUAAAGGCGAUUGGAGGCACAGCCCCUCCCUCAGUCUCCAGGCUGUUGUGUGGUGCUUGCUUGCUGCUUGUGCUUUCUCCCAGCCAA